This 443-nucleotide ribosomal RNA is filed under the name uncultured bacterium. RNAcentral's name for it is "partial 16S ribosomal RNA". It matches the Rfam family "Bacterial small subunit ribosomal RNA", at positions 338 to 795 of the family's 1533-position model. The record is from RNAcentral.
CCUACGGGGGGCAGCAGUGGGGAAUAUUGGACAAUGGGGGGAACCCUGAUCCAGCGACGCCGCGUGAGUGAAGAAGUAUUUCGGUAUGUAAAGCUCUAUCAGCAGGGAAGGAAGAAAUGACGGUACCUGACUAAGAAGCCCCGGCUAACUCCGUGCCAGCAGCCGCGGUAAUACGGAGGAUCCGAGCGUUAUCCGGAUUCAUUGGGUUUAAAGGGUGCGUAGGUUGUUUUAUAAGUUAGCGGUGAAAUACCGAUGCUCAACAUCGGGGCUGCCGCUGAUACUGUAGGACUAGAGAUCGGAUGCGGCAGGCGGAAUGUGUAGUGUAGCGGUGAAAUGCAUAGAUAUUAGGAAGAACACCAGUGGCGAAGGCGGAUUACUGGACGAUAACUGACGGUGAGGCGCGAAAGCGUGGGGAGCAAACAGGAUUAGAUACCCGAGUAGUC